This 294-nucleotide long non-coding RNA is filed under the name Coturnix japonica (Japanese quail). Its description in RNAcentral is "lncRNA (ENSCJPG00005020259.1)". Lineage: Eukaryota; Metazoa; Chordata; Aves; Galliformes; Phasianidae. The record is from RNAcentral.
UGUAUAAAGCUUCUGUUCUCUCUAAUCUGAGCUCUCUCCUACCUUUAACCUCUUAGGUCAUGGCAGUUUACAGACAAGCUACAUCAGAGGAAGUGUAAAGAAGUGGUAAAGAUUUGACCUCAUGCACAAAAGCAUUUAAAAAGUCCUGGUGAAUCCUCAGCUGCCUGAGUCAACAUGAGCUUUGUUCCUGACCUCACUGAACUCAGGACUUCACUGUUGUGUAUGUUUGCAUCCUACCAGGUGUUUUCUAGUACUUCACUACUUCUCAGUGGUUUAGAGAUCAAAAGAAGAAGA